RNAcentral lists this ribosomal RNA (253 nucleotides) under uncultured bacterium. Its description in RNAcentral is "partial 16S ribosomal RNA". It matches the Rfam family "Bacterial small subunit ribosomal RNA", at positions 524 to 776 of the family's 1533-position model. The record is from RNAcentral.
UACGAAGGGGGCUAGCGUUGCUCGGAAUCACUGGGCGUAAAGCGCACGUAGGCGGCUAUUCAAGUCGGGGGUGAAAGCCCGGGGCUCAACCCCGGAACUGCCCUCGAAACUAGAUAGCUAGAAUCUUGGAGAGGCGAGUGGAAUUCCGAGUGUAGAGGUGAAAUUCGUAGAUAUUCGGAAGAACACCAGUGGCGAAGGCGACUCGCUGGACAAGUAUUGACGCUGAGGUGCGAAAGCGUGGGGAGCAAACAGG